ACUCCCUUCGGGGAGUGCAUAAAGUGGCGCACGGGUGAGUAACACGUAAGUAAUCUACCUUCGAGUGGGGAAUAACCCGGGGAAACCCGAGCUAAUACCGCAUAAUGCAGCGGCAUCGCAAGAUGACAGUUGUUAAAGGAGCAAUCCGCUUGAAGAGGAGCUUGCGGCAGAUUAGCUAGUUGGUAAGGUAAUGGCUUACCAAGGCUACGAUCUGUAUCCGGUCUAAGAGGACGGUCGGACACACUGACACUGAAUAACGGGUCAGACUCCUACGGGAGGCAGCAGUCGGGAAUUUUGGGCAAUGGGCGAAAGCCUGACCCAGCAACGCCGCGUGAAGGAUGAAGUAUUUCGGUAUGUAAACUUCGAAAGAAUGGGAAGAAUAAAUGACGGUACCAUUUAUAAGCUCCGGCUAACUACGUGCAAGCAGCCGCGGUAAUACGUAGGGAGCAAGCGUUG
Molecule: ribosomal RNA, 456 nt
Filed under: uncultured bacterium
Lineage: Bacteria
Description: bacterial SSU rRNA
Rfam family: Bacterial small subunit ribosomal RNA
Source: RNAcentral